CAAUAGCGUAUAUUAAAGUUGUUGCAGUUAAAAAGCUCGUAGUUGGAUUUUUGGGAUGAAUCACACGGCCGGCCGCAAGGUUAGUGCUGGGUAAUCUUCCCUUUCUUUCUGGAGGCGUCCUCUGCUCUUAAUUGAGUGGUGGAAUGUGUUCAGAUCGUUUACUUUGAAUAAAUUAGAGUGUUUAAAGCAGGCAUUUCGCUUGAAUACAUUAGCAUGGAAUAAUGGAAUAGGGCUUUGGUUCUAUUUUGUUGGUUUCUAGGACUGAGGUAAUGAUUAAUAGGGAUAGUUGGGGGCAUUAAUAUUUAAUUGUCAGAGGUGAAAUUCUUGGAUUUAUGAAAGAUUAACUUCUGCGAAAGCAUUUGCCAAGGAUGUUUUCAUUAA
Molecule: ribosomal RNA, 381 nt
Filed under: uncultured eukaryote
Lineage: Eukaryota
Description: partial 18S ribosomal RNA
Rfam family: Eukaryotic small subunit ribosomal RNA
Source: RNAcentral